AGAGUUUGAUCAGUGGCUACAGGACGAACGCUGGCGGCGUGCUUAACACAUGCAAGUCGAACGGUGACCCAGGGCUUGCCCUGGUGAUCAGUGGCGAACGGGUGAGUAACACGUGGGCAACCUGCCCCUGACUUCGGGAUAACUCCUCGAAAGAGGAGCUAAUACCGGAUACGACCACUUCGGACAUCCGAUGGUGGUGGAAAGUUUUUCGGUCAGGGAUGGGCCCGCGGCCUAUCAGCUAGUUGGUGGGGUAAUGGCCUACCAAGGCGACGACGGGUAGCCGGCCUGAGAGGGCGACCGGCCACACUGGGACUGAGACACGGCCCAGACUCCUACGGGAGGCAGCAGUGGGGAAUAUUGCGCAAUGGGCGAAAGCCUGACGCAGCGACGCCGCGUGAGGGAUGAAGGCCUUCGGGUUGUAAACCUCUUUCAGCAGGGACGAAGCGAAAGUGACGGUACCUGCAGAAGAAGCACCGGCUAACUACGUG
RNAcentral lists this ribosomal RNA (488 nucleotides) under uncultured bacterium. RNAcentral's name for it is "bacterial SSU rRNA". It matches the Rfam family "Bacterial small subunit ribosomal RNA", at positions 8 to 507 of the family's 1533-position model. The record is from RNAcentral.